GCUGUGUGACGCACACCCUCAGCAGGAGACCCCUGUGGCCUCUGAGCCCACCCCUGCCUGGGCCCAGCGCGUGCUGUGAUGGCCAGCCACCUCAACGCCACCUUUACGGGCAUCCUAGCAGCGUCCUCAGCUGGGGGGCUUCGCCACCUUCUCCUCCUGCUUCCCCGGCCUCUGCGAGGGCAAGCCUGCUGCCCUGCUACCCAUGAGCCUCUCCCAGCCCUGCCUGCCUGUGCCCAGCGUGGGCCUGACCCGCAUCCUGCCUCAUCUCUACCUGGGCUCGCAGAAAGACGUCCUAAACAAGGAUCUGAUGACGCAAAAUGGAAUAAGCUACGUCCUCAACGCCAGCAACUCCUGCCCCAAGCCUGACUUCAUCUGCGAGAGCCGCUUCAUGCGGGUCCCCAUCAACGACAACUACUGUGAAAAACUGCUGCCCUGGCUGGACAAGUCCAUCGAGUUCAUCGAUAAAGCCAAGCUCUCCAGCUGCCAAGUCAUCGUCCACUGUCUGGCUGGCAUCUCCCGCUCUGCCACCAUCGCCAUCGCCUACAUCAUGAAGACCAUGGGCAUGUCCUCCGACGACGCCUACAGGUUCGUGAAGGACAGGCGCCCGUCCAUCUCGCCCAACUUCAACUUCCUGGGC
RNAcentral lists this small RNA (637 nucleotides) under Pan troglodytes (chimpanzee). Its description in RNAcentral is "processed transcript". Lineage: Eukaryota; Metazoa; Chordata; Mammalia; Primates; Hominidae. The record is from RNAcentral.